GAUAGCUCAGUAGUAGAGUGCAUGUUUAUGAUGCACGAGGUCCUGGGUUCGAUCCCUAGUC
This 61-nucleotide transfer RNA is filed under the name Camelus bactrianus (Bactrian camel). It matches the Rfam family "tRNA", at positions 6 to 65 of the family's 71-position model. From Rfam's summary of the family: Transfer RNA (tRNA) molecules are approximately 80 nucleotides in length. Their secondary structure includes four short double-helical elements and three loops (D, anti-codon, and T loops). The record is from Rfam by way of RNAcentral. RNAcentral also lists the same sequence under 2 other names. Lineage: Eukaryota; Metazoa; Chordata; Mammalia; Artiodactyla; Camelidae.